RNAcentral lists this transfer RNA (75 nucleotides) under Aedoeadaptatus ivorii. RNAcentral describes it as "Peptoniphilus ivorii tRNA-Glu(ttc)". It matches the Rfam family "tRNA". From Rfam's summary of the family: Transfer RNA (tRNA) molecules are approximately 80 nucleotides in length. Lineage: Bacteria; Bacillati; Bacillota; Tissierellia; Tissierellales; Peptoniphilaceae. The record is from RNAcentral. RNAcentral also lists the same sequence under 3 other names.
GGCCCCGUGGUCAAGCGGUUAAGACACCGCCCUUUCACGGCGGUUACCCGGGUUCGAAUCCCGGCGGGGUCACCA